CUUCCUCGCAGGUGGGUGACCUGCCUGAGGAAGGGGGUUCUCAGAGCAGCGCUGGACCACGGAUGCAGCGCUCUGUGGAAUAGCCACUGCUCAGGAGAAAGCCGCAGGAGACCAGGAUGCCCCGCCCAGGAGUGACAUUGAUGGAUGAGGGUUUGCUGCUCCUGCAGACGCGAGCCUCGCAGAACCCUGCCUGCUUGAGAGGCAGGGGGCCAAGACAAUCCGCUUUUUGUUGGGUGUGGGGCGGGUGUUCCCAUCCAGACAACGGGCUGAGUGGACCUGGCGCACGCAGCUCGUGGAGAUCAGCAGAAGAGAAUGUACUGAAAGUCCUAUAGACAGUACAAGAACGUGAAGUUCAGAGAGGUUCCAUGACUUACUCAAGUUCACCUGGCUAGUAAGUAAUGGGGCAAACGAGCACAGGGAGGUCAGCCCCAAAGUCCGUUCUCUCCACCAUGGGGUGAAGCUGCCUUUUUACAACAAAGGAUCCAAAGUGAUCUUAUUGGACUGUGAAGCCGCAAGGCAGGGAUGCUCUACAGUUCUGAAGUUCAUUGCUUUGCAGUUGAGGAGUGGAGGCUCAAAGAAGGGACUUGCCAAAGAGCCAUCCUGCUAUUUUGCAGCAGUUAGAAAUUUGUGGGAAAUUAAACGCACAUCUAACUCCAAAUCCCUUUGCCGUGUUGCAACAAUUAAUUCGGAUCCACAGUCCAUUUAGCAUGCAGUAGUGGCAGAGUCUACAGAUAAAUGAACUGGGCAUGGUACUUGGGAAACCAAGACAUUGUUUUUGAUUCCAGUGUUGUCAGGCUUUUCCUCCUUUGGCCAUGGUGGGUACAGUGAACAGUGUUGCACAUUGAAGUCAAGUGGGAGAAUCCUAGACCUCAGGAUGUGAUCAGGAACAGUCAUUUGUCUUCCAUGGAUUGAUCAUAUUGUUACAUGAGUUGACUUGGUGUUACAGAGUGGCAUUCUCACUCCUUUUAUUUUUCUUCCAACACACACAUGACACACUUGUGGGAGAGCUCAGAGAUAUGCAUAAUUUCCCAUGUUCUAAUUUUAACUUGACCUUCUUCUACUCAAGACAGCAAGGAAAGGAGUGAGAAGGAUAUUAGAA
This 1099-nucleotide long non-coding RNA is filed under the name Equus caballus (horse). RNAcentral describes it as "lncRNA (ENSECAG00000058242.1)". Lineage: Eukaryota; Metazoa; Chordata; Mammalia; Perissodactyla; Equidae. The record is from RNAcentral.